GCGCAUGCGCGCGGCGACCUGUGCGCUCGGGUUCUGUGCCGGCUUUUACCCCAGCUGAAUAACCUGGUGGUCACAAGAAAGCAAAGGGAUUUUUAUGUGACAUCAUCUUGGCAAGAAGCUCCCUUACCAACCUUGACCUCCAGGUCUCCAUGGCAACUGCUGCUGGGACAUCAUUGGCACCAGAUUGUGUCCCUUAAAGGCCACACUGCAGCAAGGGCAGAUAAACAAUUUCAUGGCAA
This 239-nucleotide long non-coding RNA is filed under the name Homo sapiens (human). Its description in RNAcentral is "HSALNT0377682". Lineage: Eukaryota; Metazoa; Chordata; Mammalia; Primates; Hominidae. The record is from RNAcentral.